This 456-nucleotide ribosomal RNA is filed under the name uncultured bacterium. Its description in RNAcentral is "SSU rRNA". It matches the Rfam family "Bacterial small subunit ribosomal RNA", at positions 26 to 518 of the family's 1533-position model. The record is from RNAcentral.
AGAAUCAACGCUGGCGGCGUGCCUAACACAUGCAAGUCGAACGAGAAAGGGUAGCAAUACCUGAGUAAAGUGGCGCACGGGUGAGUAACACGUGACUAACCUACCUUUUAGUGGGGGAUAACCUAGGGAAACCUGGGCUAAUACCGCAUAAUACCUACGGGUCAAAGCAGCAAUGCGCUGAAUGAGGGGGUCGCGGUCGAUUAGUUAGUUGGCAGGGUAAUGGCCUACCAAGACUGUGAUCGAUAUCCGGCCUGAGAGGGCGCACGGACACACUGGAACUGAAACACGGUCCAGACUCCUACGGGAGGCAGCAGUGGGAAUUUGCGCAAUGGGGGAAACCCUGACGCAGCAACGCCGCGUGGAGGAUGAAGUCCUUGGGACGUAAACUCCUUUCGAUCGGGACGAUAAUGACGGUACCGGAAGAAGAAGCCCGGCUAACUUCGUGCCAGCAGCCGC